This is a long non-coding RNA of Quercus robur (English oak), 1423 nucleotides long. RefSeq lists it as uncharacterized. Lineage: Eukaryota; Viridiplantae; Streptophyta; Magnoliopsida; Fagales; Fagaceae. The record is from RefSeq and is a predicted model, not a curated record. The transcript is spliced from 4 exons.
GUGAGAGAGAGAGAGAGAGAGAGAGGCGAUGAGGCCUGGGACACGGAGAAAGAAACAGAGAAAAAGGAGGAAGGAAGAUGAAGCGGCCUUCAGCAUAAGCACGAAAAAAGCCUUUCCCAGGAACUCUCGAUAUCAGACCAUUCUUUCUCGAGGUAGAGAGGAACAGAGACAGAGUUCGUAAGAGGGAGAACCGUCAGACUCCUGUGACCCCACGAAAUCCUGCGACGCUUGAAGAGAAAGAACAGAAGCCUGCCUUCACUAGCCUGCCGCCACACUUCAGCCAGCGAAACCACUACCGGUAAAACGGUAAAACUGAUUUCUUUUGUUUUCCCUUUCAGUUGUAGUGCUUUGGAUUUUAUUUCUUAAUCUUCUUCUCCUUCUGAGUGAAAAUUUGUUUGUUAAAAAAAAAAACUCUGCCAUUUUUUUUCUAACGUUUGGAGGAGAAUGAAAAAAUAAAGGUCUCACGUAGGGGAAGAUAGAGAGAGGCUGGAACCACUACUGAAUACCCAACUUGAUGGCUGGUUAUGGCAAAGUCAAUAAGAGUUUGCAACCCAGGUAAUUUAAUUCAUUUAAUAUAGUCUAAUUUUGGUCUUACCUUCAAUCUGCUGCAAUUUAAUUGUUGGGUCUCAAGCACUAUUCUAUAAGAGCACGUUAUGAGCAAUAUAAGAGCAACUUAAGCCAAAUAUAAGAGCACAUUGUGAUUACCGUAAUAUAUUAGUUCUUAAUAUUUAUAUUUUUCAUAUUUAUAAUGAUCUUAUGUGUAAAUUUUUGACAAUUUGUAAACAACUUUUUUAUUGGAUCAGAUUUAGCCCUCAAAUAGGUGAAAUUAGACAAAUAUUUAAGCCUGAACAUGUUAACACUUAAACUUAAAUCUGGAAUUUUGCUGAUUGUACAAGUAUGUGUUUUAACUUUUAAUGUGUUUGAAAAAAAAAUAUUGAUUUGAGAUUGAUGUAUUCUCUUAGAGACAGCCUUUAAAUUUGCCAUUAUUGGGGAAGUUUGCAGAUUGUACAUUUGUGUUUUAAUGUGUUUUAGAAAAAUGAAUUGAUGCAUUCUCUUAGGCUUAGAAAUGACAAGGUUUCACGGUAGUAGUAGUGGUGCGCUAUGAUGUUAACAUAGUCAUAAGAGAUAUCAAUGGAUUAAACUACAUGAUAACCAACUGUCUAUUUGAGUUUAUCUAAUGGCCAUAAUUCCACACUAUAACCAUUUCAUUUUUCAUUCAUGGUAUUUGAAUUCCGAGUUUUAAGACAUCACAUGCAUCAUCUGAGCCUAUAUUAUUUCUCAUUUGUAGUGUUCACUUUGAUGCAGUUUCCAAAAUUACUUGAUCAAAUGUACUCUCUGCAUUUUUAAAAACAUAAAAACAUGUUUGAUGUGUCUUUCACAAAUCGGAUUGUCCCAUCUCCUUUAAGGGAAAAAUUAUGGAUAA